GUACACCUAGGGGAUCUGAAAGAUUUUCAAAUGUUGCUCUCCCUGUGGGAAACAGUGUGAGGAAAGGAAAUAAGUCCUAACCUACCCUGGAGAAGCCUGUACAGAGGAGAGAAUAUUUGCAACUUUGACAGCUUGAUUCUUAAGGGCCACAAGUAAUUGAUCUCUUUAUUUGUUAAAGAAGAUAUAAUUCAAGUACAUAGAUACAACCUAUAUUUGCAGUAAAGAUUUGGGGGCA
Bos indicus x Bos taurus (hybrid cattle) is the source of this 235-nucleotide long non-coding RNA. Lineage: Eukaryota; Metazoa; Chordata; Mammalia; Artiodactyla; Bovidae. The record is from Ensembl.